This is a long non-coding RNA of Scylla paramamosain (green mud crab), 740 nucleotides long. RefSeq lists it as uncharacterized. NCBI's taxonomy places the organism in Eukaryota, Metazoa, Arthropoda, Malacostraca, Decapoda, Portunidae. The transcript has 3 exons. The record is from RefSeq and is a predicted model, not a curated record.
AAAAAUCAAUGUGAUUUUCAGACACACUUCAGUCACAAGAUGAAUGCAGUCAGCUACAGCAUGACAUAGACAAGCUAUAGACAGUUGAGAGAGGAAGAAGUCAGUGGCACCCUCACCUCAGACAAGACAAAGCUAACAAUUGAUAAUGAAAGACACACUUCAGUCACAAGAUGAAUGCAGUCAGCUACAGCAUGACAUAGACAAGCUAUAGACAGUUGAGAGAGGAAGAAGUCAGUGGCACCCUCACCUCAGACAAGACAAAGCUAACAAUUGAUAAUGAAAGACCAGCAGCAGCAGCACACAAGAGGUGUUUUCUGUAUGAUGAUAAUCAUCUCUGAAAGGAUGUUAUAAGCAGGGCAACGUAAUGAAACUCAGUGAAUGGACGUGUGUGCGUGGCUGCAAUCACUAUGAAAUUAAGUUGAAAAUAAGAAAUAUAUUACUUUACAGAAAGGAAUGCUUAGAGUGAAUGAAAUUACUGUAAUGAAUGAAUGGAAAUAAAGUUGUGAGUCAUUAAAUGAUUAGGAAAAGAAGCUGUGAAUAGGUGCAUUAUUGUUAUUACUGAAAGGAAGAAUAUUUGUAGGAUAUGUCAUGUAUAUUAUCAAAGUGUUUUCAUUCUUACUUUCUUCUUUCUCUUUCAUCUUUUCUUAGUAUAUUUAAGUGAAUUUCUCUCUCUCUCUCUCUCUCUCUCUCUCUCUCUCUCUCUCUCUCUCUCUCUCUCUCUCUCUCUCUCUCUCUCUCUC